Molecule: non-coding RNA, 4880 nt
Organism: Nothobranchius furzeri (turquoise killifish)
Lineage: Eukaryota; Metazoa; Chordata; Actinopteri; Cyprinodontiformes; Nothobranchiidae
Source: RefSeq, a predicted model, not a curated record
GUGAAGAUGGACAUAAGGACGUUUUUUUAGACCAAAAGUACCGCGACAGAACCCCAGCUUUGAUGAGACUGGUGUUGACUCAGGUUUGUGAGUCUUAUUUGAAAAUAUUUGUUGUGCUGCUGGUUAGUUAUCUUAUUAGGUAAAGUUGUUGGAGAAAGAAAGGGAAUAUUUACUAUCAUCUCACACUAAACAAUAACCCCCAAAUUCCACUACCUCCGCUCCGCUCUGCUCCGACACGAACGCCGGAGCAAAAUCGGUCCCGUUGUAGUCAAUCAGAGCAAUUCCACUACUGCGGUCGUGCUCCGGUCGUGCUCCGGCAGUGCGGCGCCGUGCGCCGCCCUCUGUUCCGGCGUCCGGCAAAAAUAGAAUCGAUCCUAUUUUCGCCGGACGCCGGAGCACCUCCGCAGUAAAUUGACAGAAAUCACAACCGCCCAACAGGAAAAGGAGCAAGCACAACUUCCGUUUUUCACAAUAAAUUGAUAAACAAAAAGCGUUUUUUGUUUCAUAUGCACAGGUUUAACAACUUUUAACAACUAUCAAUGGCAGCUGAAGUUUAAAUGCACAAAAGUAAGCCAUAAAUACAGUUUCCACUAUCAAAGUAGUCACCCUUUGUUGAUCCAAACACUGCUGAUCUCUCAACACAAAUGAUGGGCAGAUUAAACAGUUCAUGCCGACGCUUCUCCCACACAAGGGGUGUUUGGAUCUAACUUCCGCGUUUAUUGCUCGGACUGUAUCGCAAGAUCUCGAAAAUCCCACGCAUGCCUGUUUGCGCACCUCAGGUCUCCGCACCGGAGCGGAGCCGUUGUAGAGCGGGUACCAAGAAAAAUUGAGUUCGGAAGCGAGCGGCUGCGGAAGUCAGGGGCGGACCGGAGCGGAGGUAGUGGAAUUUGGGGGUAGCAGGAACAAUAUUCUGCCCUGAAUAUGCUUAAUAUGUAGCUUCAGAUUAAAAAUUAUGUGGUACAAGACAUAUAUGAUGUUGACUAGUGCGUGUCACGUGUGUGCGCGCGUGCGUGUAUUUGCGCGCGCGUGCGUGUGUGUGUUAAGCCCCGGAUCUUCUUCAGUCCUUAAUCCGCCCCUGCCCCACACACCUGCAAUUCAUCUCCCUCUCAUUCUCCCCAGUGUAUAUAACCCUGUCUGUGUCUCCGUGCGUUUGUCAGUCCAUUGUUUCUGUCAUACUCGUUCUCGUUUGCUCUCCAGUGUUUCCAGUGCUGCUAGUGUCUCUAGCCUCUAGUGUUUUCAUUUGGAUUUUUGGUUUUUGGCCUUUUGGAUUAUUCCCAAAAUAGAGGAUUAUAUGUUCAUCAUCUACCUCCAGCCUGGUUCAUCUGGUUCUCUGCAUUUUGGGUCCUAAACUUCCUCCUACACCGUCCCGUGACAGAGCUGAGUUCUGGAUGUAAAAGAAUUUGGGUUGCGUUAAGCUAUGAAGUUGAUUAUUAUCAAAAGCACAUCAGACGUUAUCUGUGUGUCUGCUUCACCCGUUUUCGGAGACCCUCUUAGUGGAUCCGAAGGUCAGAGAGGUCGGAUGACCUCUGGCACAGAAGGGCUGUAGAAUACCGUGGCACCGACGCUUCAGUCCAGAGAUGUCUCGGGUCACGACAGGCGGAUGGAACCGCGUGUCUGGGACUCUGAAGGAGUCUAAACAACAUCAGCUUGUUCUGCAGGAACUGUUUGCUCUAUCAGCUUCGCAGGUGCAAAAAGGUUUUGACGACGUGUCAGAAGCUUAGAUGGGUUAAAGAGGGUGUUGCUUCAGGUGGCCGGUCUGAAACUUUAGAACUGAGGCCCUGUCCACACGUAGCCGGGGAUCUGCCAAAACGUAGAUAUUUGUCUACGUUUUGGCCUGUCAUCCACACGAAAACCGAGUUUUUUCACACGAAAACGGAUCUUUUUAAAAACUCCGGCCAAAGUGAAGAUCUGCGUUUUCUCUGUUUUGGGUGUCUGCGUGUGGACGGACAAAACCGGAGUUUUAAGGUCCGCAACGUCACUUUCCGCAACAAAAAAUGCUGACAUCACGUGUGCGACCUGUGUUUACACUAGCCGACAGCAUGGAUGCCCUCAGAGCUGCGCUCGCUUUAUCAAUUGUCCAAGCGCUUUUUGCUUGUUUGUUUUUGCAAGCGGAAUUACUGCUCCUUGCGGAAGACCACAGACGAAGGACGAGGUUAAGAACGGGGGAAGUACUGCUGCCUACAGGUCUGGCAUGUCCUUAACAACGUAUUUAUCCGGGUACGUGUGGACAGAGUUUUGUUUUAAAACGCGGUGGUGUGGAUGCAAGUUUUUGGAGGGGCGGAUAUUCGUUUAAAAAAAACCCGGCUAAGUGUGGACUAGGCCUGAGAGAUCACCCGAGAGUGAUCCAGUUUUGAUGUUCUCAUGUUAUGAUUCGUGUAGCCAACCAAAGGUUGACAAGUUGAGGAAUGGUUACCAAGACAACCUCAGAAACACGCCUUCUUUGAUACGGAGGCUCUGACUAGGAUAAAAGACUAUUUAUGUGUCACGAGUUCAACUUAACCUUACUUGUUCUUGUGUGAGUGCAAAUGGUGAUGACCUUGCCAUAUAAACAACAUAACAUUCAUUUCAAACUUCAAUCAUUGAGCACAGAUUAAUGAAACAUUUCAUUAUAUUAUAGUUAUUAUAAGUAGCAAUAAACAAAUGUUUAUUUGACGAUAAUCUAGCUUGUAAGUUGGAGAAGAAGUUCAUAUUGAUUUAGGAAAUCAUUCUUGAUUUGGCAACUGAUCCGAGCUGGAGUGUUCCUUAUGUGGAGGCAUGAAGACCUGACAGAUUGGACCUCGAGGAGAAAAUGUUAUUGUUGACAUUUUGUUAUCUCUUCAGAGCUGCAGGCUCUGAGCUCCAGCUGGUGGGAUGGAGGCAGGCCAAUUUAAAGGGAACACAUGCAGUCUUGCAUCUCCUUUUUGACCAGAUUUUGAAUAGAUGUUGAAUGGUCAAACUGUACCUAAAAACUGGCCACUGCUGGACGUUACAACUGUGACACAUCCUGGUGUAAUUUAUGCACUCAGUAAGCUGCAGCUCGUCGUUCCUGCUCUCGGAUGUCUUCGUUUCAAGCCAGAGCGUUAAACUCUGCUGCUUUUCAGGAAUUUAGUGGCGCUUGCGGAGAAUGAGCUAAAAUUAGCUGUCUGAAAAAAAAACUCAACAUCCUCUGAAAACUUCUCAUUAUGCGAGCCAUCCUCUCAGCGUUUGUCCUAAAUAUACAAAAAACAGGAUGAGGGAAGAAAUGAUGAGGUGAGUGAGAUAACACUGCAGCUGCUGUCAAGGAGCGAGGAGUCUAAAGCCACAAAAACGCUCUGGUCUCCAACUCAGUCAUAGAAACAGCAUGCUUGCUCUGGUGUUAAGUGGAUUAGAGCUGGCUUAAUGCAGCAAGCAGCAAGGCAUCAUCGGAAAGGCUUCACCCUCUCCUGCUCCAGCCCACUCCCCUAAAAACUCCCCACAAUAAUAAAAAAGAGAUUAUUGUUAUAUAAGUUUUCCUCCCACUUUCUCCAUCCCUCAUCCGUCAGCAGAGGUGUUGUCAUGGCGACACCCACCCCUCCUCUGAAACGUCAGCAUCAGGGAGCUGGAGGACGAAGCUGCAUGCAGCUCCCGCUCCUCUCAGAGAUCCGCCGUGACUUCUGCCGUCUCACAUGAAACUGUGAGAGCUGCAGCGCCGGGAUUCGUCUCAUGACUGUUGUGACUGGAGCCAGCUGAUCUUUAUCACACACCAAAGGUGUGACUCAUCAAGCCCAUCAGCAGUCAUGUCGUGGUUGUUCCUGGACUGGUUCGUGCCCCUCUACCUGCUGGUGUCGGUGCUGGUGCUGGCAGGUUUCGGAGCGUGUCUGUACUUCCUCGAGCCCGGUUUGCAGGACGCCCACAAAUGGAGUAACAAAACAAUCCGGCAUCACCCGCUGGUGGCCAGCGUGAACUGCAGAGAUGACGAUAGCAACGUCCUGAUUUGAUGAGGAGCAGAACGGCGGGUGUAGGCAGCAAACCGGCCGGACAGGGGCGCAGGCACGACACCAGUGAGACGGGGGCCAACACCUCGGCUCCUGGAGGAAAUCAUCUGAUAAGUAAAAAAUACCCUGCUCUGUAUCAUUCCAGUUUCUCUGUAAAAAGAAUCUUUUAUUAAUAAAUUCCUAAAAUAUUCCCACACAUGGACGUAAUUUGGGGGGGGGAGGGGGGCAUGGGGGACACCCCCCCCCCCGCUUUUUCCAAAGUCAAGUUUUGACCCCUGCACUUUUUACCAUCCAAAAACAAUAUUACGCUUUAUUAAAUUGACACUGGUUGAGCUCUUGGACCAAGCGGAAAACAACCGUUUGUGUUGAAGCCGGUUUCCCAUUAGAGCAUACUGUAAAGAUCCCCCCGCCCCCCCCCCCCUGACCCACCCAACCCCCGUGCCCCCCCACUUCUAAAGUGAAAAUUACGUCCAUGUUCCCACAUGUAGAAGGACUACAUGCAGACAGAAAUAUUCGGUGACUCGGGAGAAGGUUGCUAUUUAGCGUAUUAAAUUUCCCUCCAUCCUAUACUUGUGCCAACUUUUACAUACGUUUUGUGUCUGACAAUCACUCUACAUUCUUGUGCAUUUAUUUAGAGUAGAGGAUGACUUUGCUGUCACUGGGGAGGGUUUUUAAUCCCCUCCCUGCUGUCGGCUCGGCAGCUGUUGAGGUGCAUGCAGAUUUUUUUUGUGCCAAAUCGGUGCAACUUUUAAUAAAGUAACUUGCUCUGAAAAUACCCAAAGGAUCAAUUCAAGGAGCCAAGAACGUGUCAGGAAGGAUCAAGACAGCAGAAUAAAAGCAGCGUUUGUUGUUUUUACUCAACAGAAUCACGAGGAAACUCUGUAACGAUCCUUGCUGAUCAUGCGCCUUCUUUGUUCAUACAGAAAUAAAACCGUUCAGUCAUUUAAA